UACGGGGGGGACUAGUGUUAUUCGGAAUGACUGGGCGUAAAGGGUGUGUAGGCGGUUCUGUAAGUUGAAAGUGAAAUCUCAAAGCUUAACUUUGAAAGUGCUUUCAAUACUGCAAAACUUGAGUGUGGGAGAGGAUAGCGGAAUUUCUAGUGUAGAAAUAAAAUCCAUAGAUAUUAGAAGGAACACCGAAAGCGUAGGCAGCUAUCUAGACCAAUACUGACGCUGAAACACGAAAGCAUGGGGAGCAAACAGG
This 253-nucleotide ribosomal RNA is filed under the name uncultured bacterium. RNAcentral's name for it is "partial 16S ribosomal RNA". It matches the Rfam family "Bacterial small subunit ribosomal RNA", at positions 524 to 776 of the family's 1533-position model. The record is from RNAcentral.